GUAAACCCUCGAGCAUGUCCUGUGCAAACCAGGUUGGCUUCAGGAAACACAAAGAGAAAGAGAAGUCCAGGGAAUGGAGAAUGUCAGGGAACGUCAGAGCUGUCUCAUCAGAGCUGUCGCCAUGGUUCCCCGGCAAUGAGGAAAGUGAGGUCUUCACGUUGCCACCUGCUUCUCCCACUGCUUCAGCCUCCCUGAGAAGGACUCCAGCAGCAGCAUGGCGAUACCAGUGGAAAGCAGAGAUGGGAGGAGCUGGAGGAAGUGYGUGGGAUAAAAUUAAAAGAGAGCUAAACAUCUGUUCAACUUCAGUGGGUUGAGUGUCUCUACCAUGACCGUUAUCUGCUGCUUCAGAUUAGGAGGUUCAACAUACACCCCUUUGGAGACACAGCCUUACUUGAAGUCUGCUGUAUUCUGCCUGAAGUCUGGCUGUAUUCUUUCACUCUGAUUUUGACACCACUUACUCAUAUUAUCUUACUAUGAAGAAACUUAAAUAGAGAAAAUAGAUCCAUUUAACUGCCUUGUUUCCUGAUGUUGCGCCCGGGCUGCUAUUCAAUUUUUGAUACCUGGGACACAAAGAUGUGACUGGCUGAUUGGACUGCGAGGGAAACAAAAGUCUAUUAACUGAACAUGGGUUUCAGGAAAGCCUCUACUUGUGUUUCUCAGCAUAAACUGUUCUGCAGUGUUUAGUUUUACUGCAUUCUGCUGCUGCAUGAUGAUCAAUCUUUUGUGGCUGGCGAAGUGAGUCCUUUGAGGUUUGAAAACACCUUUGAAAUCAUUUGAGACAAAUAAAGCAACAAAUAAGUAUGAAUAUGUUCA
RNAcentral lists this long non-coding RNA (813 nucleotides) under Dromaius novaehollandiae (emu). Its description in RNAcentral is "lncRNA (ENSDNVG00000009720.1)". Lineage: Eukaryota; Metazoa; Chordata; Aves; Casuariiformes; Dromaiidae. The record is from RNAcentral.